UAGGGAAUAUUGGACAAUGGGGGCAACCCUGAUCCAGCCAUGCCGCGUGAGUGAAGAAGGCCCUCGGGUUGUAAAGCUCUUUUGUCCGGAAAGAAAAGCAUUCGGUGAAUACCCGGAUGUUCUGACGGUACCGGAAGAAUAAGCACCGGCUAACUUCGUGCCAGCAGCCGCGGUAAUACGAAGGGUGCAAGCGUUACUCGGAAUUACUGGGCGUAAAGCGUGCGCAGGCGGUUUUGUAAGACAGAUGUGAAAUCCCCGGGCUUAACCUGGGAACUGGGUUUGUGACUGCAAGGCUGGAGUACGGCAGAGGGGGGUGGAAUUCCACGUGUAGCAGUGAAAUGCGUAGAGAUGUGGAGGAACACCGAUGGCGAAGGCAGCCCCCUGAGCCUGAACUGACGCUCAUGCACGAAAGCGUGGG
This 418-nucleotide ribosomal RNA is filed under the name uncultured bacterium. RNAcentral describes it as "bacterial SSU rRNA". It matches the Rfam family "Bacterial small subunit ribosomal RNA", at positions 355 to 765 of the family's 1533-position model. The record is from RNAcentral.